This 335-nucleotide transfer-messenger RNA is filed under the name bacterium. It matches the Rfam family "transfer-messenger RNA". From Rfam's summary of the family: Bacterial tmRNA, also known as 10Sa RNA or SsrA, is named for its dual tRNA and mRNA-like properties. Its role is to liberate the mRNA from a stalled ribosome. To accomplish this part of the tmRNA is used as a reading frame that ends in a translation stop signal. The record is from RNAcentral.
GGGGACGAUUUUGGUUUCGAUUGGGAAAUAUCGUAUAGAAGUGCAAGCCGUGAGUAUACACGUUAAAACAAACGUCAAUUUCAAUUGGCAACAGUUACGCAAUGGCAGCGUAGUAAUACGCAGCCUGUCGCCCUCACACUCCGAUAAGAGGUAGCGACAUCAUAUCGGAAAGACCCUGAGAAAACAGUAAAUCACGUGUUGGUUGCUAUAACUACGACACGCUAAAUAAGAACGGUUAGGCUGACUUGCCAGAAGAAGAGCAACUGGAUAAGCUUGUGAAUGACUUUUAUAUAGAGUUUUUCAAGACGCGAGUUCGACUCUCGCCGUCUCCACUC